CGGUGGGAACCAUGAAGCCACGUCUUCCGAAUGCCCCACAAGGGUGAAAGAGAACGAGGUGGCCAAAGUCAGGGUUGUACAGAGCAUUUCAUAUACAGCAGCUGUGAGAGGGGUUGAAUGGUGCACCAGGAAAGUCCAUGGUAGUUGUUAGGCCUACACUGCAGGAUGCAGGGGUCGCCUUUCACCAGCAAGAUCCAGACAUUUUAAAGGUUAAGAAGGUGGACUUUUUGGCAUUUAUAGCUAUGGUAAUUAAUGGCACUGCCAAGGUGGAGAGAAGGUCCAGGAAGAUAUAAAUCAUAGUGAUUGCGACAGGGCGGUUCCUGGGGCUAAAAGAUUUCUCAGCGAAGGAGUUACAUGGAAUAUUGGCACAAGCCGUACCACACUCUCGUCAUUGAGCCUGAAAAUGGAGAUAUGGAGAACUAAAAGCAUGAAUAAGUAAGAGUUUUGUUUGUUUUGGCAAUGUACUAUUUUUAUUAGGGUGGAGUAAGUUAGUUUCACUAUUACGUAUGGAUAUAUAUAUAUAUUUUUUUCAAACCGUCUAGUUGGUGGCGGCAAAAAAGCUUUUUGGAUGAAGUCCGCCAUAAAACCCACAGAAGAAGAAGAAACAGUGUAUAUAUAUAUAUAUUGAACUGUGGUGGUCUGACAAUGGCGUUGGCGUCUGAUUGUUGUCCUAGUUACAAUCUGGUUCCUGUCCUGCCUGCCUUCCAGCUGCCUGCCUUCCAGCUGCCUGCCUUCCAGCUGCCUGCCUUCCAGCUGCCUGCCUUCCAGACAGCCGAACUCAGUGCCAUCCUCGGUAUGUCCGGUAUUCGAUGGAGAGUCCUUAUUCAUAAAAAUUGUUACCCAGUGUCCUGAGUCUGAGAUCAGUUUACGCACCCAGCGAAAAGGCAGUGUGUUCACGUAUGACAAGGAGAAGGACUUGUGUACUGUGGAUCCACGUUAUCGGGACAGGAUCCAGAUGAGGAAUGACUCCAACGUCCGUGUUUUUGAAUUUCGCAAUGUAACCAAAGAAGAUAUGGAUGAAAUAUAUGUGAUCUAUGCUUCCAAUACACCCAUCAGAUAUU
This is a long non-coding RNA of Coregonus clupeaformis (lake whitefish), 1061 nucleotides long. RefSeq lists it as uncharacterized. Lineage: Eukaryota; Metazoa; Chordata; Actinopteri; Salmoniformes; Salmonidae. The record is from RefSeq and is a predicted model, not a curated record. The transcript is spliced from 3 exons.